CUUUAUUUUGUGAAGGUGGACAUACAUUAUUUUGUAAAGGUGGACAUACAUUAUUUUGUGAAGGUAGAUAUACAUUAUUUUGUA
This 84-nucleotide non-coding RNA is filed under the name Plasmodium falciparum 3D7. The record is from RNAcentral. Lineage: Eukaryota; Apicomplexa; Aconoidasida; Haemosporida; Plasmodiidae.